CCUCCUUUUCUUGUCAGGGACUGACUGUGUGGUCCUGCUCCCUGUUAUGUAUGGAGGCAGAGGGAAAGGGGCUCUGGCCCCCUCAAAUCAUGUCUUUGGUACCAGCCAGUUCUGUCCUCAGUUGCCUGGAUACUA
Small nucleolar RNA from Colobus angolensis palliatus, 135 nucleotides. The record is from Ensembl. Lineage: Eukaryota; Metazoa; Chordata; Mammalia; Primates; Cercopithecidae.